GAGGGUAUAGCCCAGUGGUAGAGCGUGUACUCAGCAUGCACGAGGUCCUGGGUCCAACCCCCAGUACCUCCA
RNAcentral lists this transfer RNA (72 nucleotides) under Camelus bactrianus (Bactrian camel). It matches the Rfam family "tRNA". From Rfam's summary of the family: Transfer RNA (tRNA) molecules are approximately 80 nucleotides in length. RNAcentral also lists the same sequence under 1 other name. The record is from Rfam by way of RNAcentral. Lineage: Eukaryota; Metazoa; Chordata; Mammalia; Artiodactyla; Camelidae.